Molecule: ribosomal RNA, 300 nt
Filed under: uncultured Kitasatospora sp.
Lineage: Bacteria; Bacillati; Actinomycetota; Actinomycetes; Kitasatosporales; Streptomycetaceae
Description: partial 16S ribosomal RNA
Rfam family: Bacterial small subunit ribosomal RNA (bases 52-300)
Source: RNAcentral
GGGAGAGGGGGGGGAGGAGCCGGGGGAAUAAGGGGGGGGGAACGGUGUUCCGGAUGUAUUGGGUUUAAAGGGUGCGUAGGCGGCCCGUGAAGUCAGUGGUGAAAGCCUCUAGCUCAACUAGAGAACUGCCAUUGAUACUGACAGGCUUGAGUACAGACGAGGUUGGCGGAAUUGAUUGUGUAGCGGUGAAAUGCAUAGAUACAAUCAAGAACUCCGAUUGCGUAGGCAGCUAACUAGGCUGUAACUGACGCUGAGGCACGAAAGCGUGGGGAGCGAACAGGAUUAGAUACCCUUGUAGUC